This is a long non-coding RNA of Spodoptera frugiperda (fall armyworm), 1241 nucleotides long. RefSeq lists it as uncharacterized. The record is from RefSeq and is a predicted model, not a curated record. The transcript is spliced from 2 exons. Lineage: Eukaryota; Metazoa; Arthropoda; Insecta; Lepidoptera; Noctuidae.
AAUUGCUAUUUUAAUCAUUAAUCGUAGAACAAUGAAAAUAAACUACCGACUUUUUAAACAUCAACUUCAAAAAGAAAAAUCGAUACCUACCUAUAUAAUAGUAAUAAAAAAUUGCGAUUGCAACUUCUAAACUGUCAGUAGGUAUCCUAUCAGUAGGUACAUAAUUAAGACUUAUACUAGUUAUUUUUAGUUUAGAACAAGGCUUAGUUUACAACCAUUAUAACCCAUAUGUGUACAAAGUUGUCAUCGAUCCAAAUACCAGGAAAUACCAAGUAGUAGCUACUGUGGAAACUCGUCACUGGUUACAGUGACGAGUUUCCUUAACUAUCAUGCUACUUAAUCAUCACAUCACUGAUGCGUUAACAAUAAAUAAGCGGAAUUGGCAAUAGACGGACGGCCUAGCUAGCGGAAUAGGUAAGAUGGAAAUAUAACCACGUACCGGCAAGCGUAGCGCAGGAUAUUCAACCUCUAGAUAACUACCUAGUGGUAGAUAACUUAUGAUUAUGAUCGCAGGAAGCAAGACAAGCAAAUCACUUUCAACCGGCCCAUCUGGAAAGUUAUUGGGAGGGGCCUAUGUUAUGCAGUGGACGUCUUGUGGCUGAUAUUACGACGAAAAAAUAUUUAAGGGCUAAUUACGCAGUUUUUAUUUUGAUCAAGCUGAGUGUGAAUUUGGUAAGACCAAUAUUAAGUACUGUAAUCAGUAAUUAAAUGAUUAUUCAUUUUAAGAUGAGUUACUCACCUCUAGCACACCUCCAGAUCUAAGGUGCUGACGCUGAGGGUGGGGCAAGUGCCCCACUCGUCCACUGUGGAUACGCCCAUGAUAACAAUAUAAUAUGCACGUGGGUGUCAACAGACUGUAUUUUUCUCAUAAUCAGUUAGGCGAAGAACGUGUGCGCACCACUCGAUCAUCACAGUGAAAUUGAAUACAUUUAAAAUUUGUUCGUGCGGUUCCGAAAAUCAUUUGAAUUCAGUAAAUAAAAUCGAUUAUUAAGGAAAAUAUGAAGAUGAUCGAGCCACGGUUUUGUUUGCUAUUGAUUGCCAUUAUAAUGGGUAUUUACACAACGAAUACAACAGCGCUCACUGAGGUUAAGCCGAAAUGCCCAACAAGACAUAAACCAGUAAUAAUUGGAGAGGGCCGCACUCAUGUAUGCCUACCGGAAUCUCAUUUUACCGAAACGUUUGAUGAUAAUUUUAUAAACGGUACCUAAAUAAAAAUGAUUCCCUGAAAUCAGUUGAAGAUA